RNAcentral lists this unclassified non-coding RNA (145 nucleotides) under uncultured Ascomycota. Its description in RNAcentral is "sequence contains ITS1". The record is from RNAcentral. Lineage: Eukaryota; Fungi; Ascomycota.
CCGAGAGAGGGUGCCGCGCGCACCCGACCUCCCAACCCUUUGUCGACCGCACCGCGUUGCCUCGGGGCCGCCCCACCCGGCGCCCCAGAGGACCUCAAUCACAACUCUGCGUCCCUGCGUCGGAGUCUUAUGGAUGAAUCAAUCA